GAUGAACGCUGGCGGCGUGCCUAACACAUGCAAGUCGAACGAACAGACCAGGAGUUUGCGCCUCUGACGUUAGCGGCGGACGGGAGAGUCACUUGUGUAUAACCUACCUGUUAGACUGGGAUAACUACGGGAAACGGGAGCUUAUACCGGAUAAUAUAUUGCACCACGUUGAGCAAUAGUAAAAGACGGUUUUGGGGGCUCUAAUAGCUGACUCCGCGCCGGAUUAGCUAGUUGGUAAGGGGACGGCUUACCCAGGCUACGAUGCGUAGGCGACCUGAGAGGGUGGUCGGCCAGCCGGGAAGAGAGACAGGGUCCAGACUCCUGCGGGAGGCAGCAGUAGGGAAUCUUCCGCAAUGGGGGAGAGCCUGACGUAGCAACGCCGGGGGAGGGAUGAACGACUUCGGAUCGGAAAACGCCGUAGUUAGGGGGGAAGAAAUGUGUAAUUAACCAUGAACGUCUUGACGGUACCUGAUCAAAAAGCCACGGCUAACUACGUG
This 497-nucleotide ribosomal RNA is filed under the name uncultured bacterium. RNAcentral describes it as "partial 16S ribosomal RNA". It matches the Rfam family "Bacterial small subunit ribosomal RNA", at positions 28 to 507 of the family's 1533-position model. The record is from RNAcentral.